AAUUGAAAUGUGAGAGCGAAUGAGUGGAGUGGGUCUAAGUAGUACAAAGUCUUCUUUGCAAACCCACUAUAACGUUCCUCAAACUUCAGUUGGCUUUCCUUUUAAAUUUCUGCAUCGUAAUGUUGAUGUUGAAUGCAAAGCUGUGAUGAGUGGAUAGUUGAAUGCAUACUGAGGUGACUAGAUGAAUGCUAUGAAUCCACAAGUAG
This 206-nucleotide long non-coding RNA is filed under the name Malus domestica (apple). RNAcentral describes it as "long non-coding RNA (MDOM_LNC002757)". The record is from RNAcentral. Lineage: Eukaryota; Viridiplantae; Streptophyta; Magnoliopsida; Rosales; Rosaceae.